CGGACGGGUGAGUAAUGUCUGGGAAACUGCCCGAUGGAGGGGGAUAACUACUGGAAACGGUAGCUAAUACCGCAUAACGUCGCAAGACCAAAGAGGGGGACCUUGGGCCUCUUGCCAUCGGAUGUGCCCAGAUGGGAUUAGCUAGUAGGUGGGGUAACGGCUCACCUAGGCGACGAUCCCUAGCUGGUCUGAGAGGAUGACCAGCCACACUGGAACUGAGCACGGUCCAG
Molecule: ribosomal RNA, 230 nt
Filed under: uncultured bacterium
Lineage: Bacteria
Description: partial 16S ribosomal RNA
Rfam family: Bacterial small subunit ribosomal RNA
Source: RNAcentral